UUUCUAGAGAUAGAAAGUUACUUCGGUACAUCGGUGACAGGUGGUGGCAUGGUUGUCGUCAGCUCGUGUCGUGAGAUGUUGGGUUAAGUCCCGCAACGAGCGCAACCCCGCCGUUAGUUGCCAGCGGUUCGGCCGGGCACUCUAACGGGACUGCCCGCGAAAGCGGGAGGAAGGAGGGGGACGACGUCUGGUCAGCAUGGCCCUUACGGCCUGGGCGACACACGUGCUACAAUGCCCACUACAAAGCGAGGCCACCCGGCAACGGGGAGCUAAUCGCAAAAAGGUGGGCCCAGUUCGGAUUGGGGUCUGCAACCCGACCCCAUGAAGCCGGAAUCGCUAGUAAUCGCGGAUCAGCCAUGCCGCGGUGAAUACGUUCCCGGGCCUU
This 385-nucleotide ribosomal RNA is filed under the name uncultured Thermus sp. RNAcentral's name for it is "bacterial SSU rRNA". It matches the Rfam family "Bacterial small subunit ribosomal RNA", at positions 997 to 1382 of the family's 1533-position model. Lineage: Bacteria; Thermotogati; Deinococcota; Deinococci; Thermales; Thermaceae. The record is from RNAcentral.